Molecule: unclassified non-coding RNA, 283 nt
Filed under: Sordariales sp.
Lineage: Eukaryota; Fungi; Ascomycota; Sordariomycetes; Sordariales
Description: partial contains 5.8S ribosomal RNA, internal transcribed spacer 2, and large subunit ribosomal RNA
Rfam family: 5.8S ribosomal RNA (bases 1-71)
Source: RNAcentral
GUGAGUCAUCGAAUCUUUGAACGCACAUUGCGCCCGUCAGUAUUCUGGUGGGCAUGCCUGUUCGAGCGUCAUUUCAACCAUCAAGCCCUAGGCUUGUGUUGGGGUACUGCGGCUGCCGCAGGCCCCUAAAAGCAGUGGCGGACUCGCUGUCAAACCGAGCGCAGUAGCACACCUCGCUCAGGGCGUGGCAGCGGGCACCGGCCGUAAAACAACUAAAACUUAAGGUUGACCUCGGAUCAGGUAGGAAUACCCGCUGAACUUAAGCAUAUCAAUAAGCGGAGGA